CCCUUAGAUGUUCUGGGCCGCACGCGCGCUACACUGAUGCAUUCAACGAGCCUAUCCUUGACCGACAGGUCCGGGUAAUCUUUGAAUCUGCAUCGUGACGGGGAUAGAUUAUUGCAAUUAUUAAUCUUGAACGAGGAAUUCCUAGUAAAUGCAGAUCAUCAUUCUGCGUUGAUUACGUCCCUGCCCUUUGUACACACCGCCCGUCGCACCUACCGAUUGAAUGAUCCGGUGAAGCCUCGGGAUUGUGCCCAGAGAACUUUAUUGUGAUUUGGGUGUGAGAACUUGUCUAAACCCUAUCAUUUAGAGGAAGGUGAAGUCGUAACA
This 324-nucleotide ribosomal RNA is filed under the name uncultured eukaryote. RNAcentral's name for it is "partial 18S ribosomal RNA". It matches the Rfam family "Eukaryotic small subunit ribosomal RNA", at positions 1470 to 1796 of the family's 1831-position model. The record is from RNAcentral.